GGAGGCCCCAAAGGCACCGUGCAUGUGCAUGCUGUAUGUUGUAAAAUGGCAACGUUUCGCCUUUUAUCAUGUUUAUUAAAAUGUAUGCUCCAUAUGUACAUUCUCUCUCUAUAUAUAAAUGAAUACUUUUCGGAAUUAAAAAAAAUAUUUUUAACCCCGCUCAAAUUAUCCGGAUGAUAAUAGUUACACCGAGCAUGGUUUCGUAGUUAAAUUCAGACUGUAGAACAUCCGGUUUGAAUACAUGUGUUUUCUGACUUUUCGGAUAGCCAACUCUUGUUUUUUUGGAACUUACGACUUAUGGCAAGAGAGAAGAAAACUGUGUGACUUUAAAAGAAAACCAUUGAGAUAAAAUCAUAGAUAAUGUAUGAUGAUUCAGGAUGUGGUCAUUUGUGACAUUAAAACAGGAAUUGUCAUCACCAAUAGACAAAUUUCACAUUCCUAAGAGUUUUCUUCAAUUGGCGGCGUAUCGCUCAUUUUCCCCACUUUGUCCUUUGUCCUGUUCUGUGGAUGCCCUAAGACAGUGUCUACCCAUCACUCCAUCUGAAAUCACUUGUUCUGUGCAUAUUUCUCUCUCAAACCUAAACUACAGAGAGCCUGUGAA
Saccostrea cuccullata (small rock oyster) is the source of this 601-nucleotide long non-coding RNA. RefSeq lists it as uncharacterized. Lineage: Eukaryota; Metazoa; Mollusca; Bivalvia; Ostreida; Ostreidae. The transcript is spliced from 4 exons. The record is from RefSeq and is a predicted model, not a curated record.